RNAcentral lists this long non-coding RNA (2597 nucleotides) under Homo sapiens (human). Its description in RNAcentral is "HSALNT0140043". The record is from RNAcentral. Lineage: Eukaryota; Metazoa; Chordata; Mammalia; Primates; Hominidae.
AAGAUGAAAAUAUUUGGAUAGAUAAAUGGUUCUUAGAAAAGCCUUUUGGAGCUUAGUAUGAACAUGACUCAUCAUUUGGCCAAUGGGUUAAUUCUCAUGCUCUAAGGUCUGAUUGCCACCAUUUUUUUUUUUGGCAUUUGACUGAAUGAUUUACCUUAUCUUUCCAUUUGUCCUCUAUGACUGAAGAGAUACUUAAUUAUAGCUUUAAUCUGACUCCGUUUCCCUCACAGUUUUGUGUGACUCCUAUGAUCUGAUCAGCAUGCAUUAUCCUGCUAGUGACUGAAUUUGGCAAUUUAUAGUGCAGUUAAUUAAAAUGAAUAAAAUUAUCACAGCACAUGUCAAGCAAUUUUGUGAACCACUUAUUUAAAAAGUUUAGUUAAAUGUUCCUUUUAAAUAUUGCUCCAGUAUUGACAUUUGAGAAUUCACCAAAUCCUAUAAAAGCUCAUGAAUGAAUAUCUUAUUUGAAGUUAAAACAGAGAAGCAUAUUUCAAAGAUGCUUUUAUAAUGUUGUUUGUAAAUGUGAACUCUAAGAUGAGAAGCUAAUUGUUCCUGGAAAUACUUUUACUGCUGUAAUAAGAAAUGGACUCCAAGCUAUCUGAAAUAACUCCUCUUGUGUUGACAUUCUGGAAGUGAAUUUUUAAAAACUAGCUUUUAUCACUCUGAGCAUUCAUAUAUUCCAAUAGCAAUAUCCCCAUCUAACAAUGGUACCUACCUGUUUUUUUCCUUAAAAAGAAUUUGACUUAGCUAAGUAAAUAAAAAUAAACUAUAUAGUUUUGAGCAUGAUACAGUGUUAUUAAAUAAAAAAUUCAAUAAACACAUUUACAAAUUAUCUAAAAUCAAUUAGGGAAAUCAUUAAAAUAGCAAAUAGAAAAGAUUUACAGGCCGGGCGCGGUGGCUCACGCCUGUAGUCCCAGCACUUUGGGAGGCCGAGGCGGGCGGAUCACGAGGUCAGGAGAUCGAGACCAUUCCAGCUAAAACGGUGAAACCCCGUCUCUACUAAAAAUACAAAAAAUUAGCCGGGCGUGGUGGUGGGCGCCUGUAGUCCCAGCUACUUGGGAGGCUGAGGCAGGAGAAUGGCGUGAACCCGGGAGGCGGAGCUUGCAGUGAGCCGAGAUCCCGCCACUGCACUCCAGCCUGGGCAACAGAGCGAGACUCCGUCUCAAAAAAAAAAAAAAAAAAAAAAAGAAAAGAUUUACAGCAAUGUAUAAAUGAAGGACUUAAAAUCCAAUUGCAGUACACAAGGGAGGGAAUUAUGUACAUAAUCAUUAUUUAAGAAAAUAUUUAUUUUUAAAUCCUAUAUAAUCAGACAUUUUCCAUGGAACAGAAUACCUAGUAGAUAUCUUUAGUUCACUAAUUCUAAUCUACACUUGAUCUUAGCCAGAAGGCCAAUAAGUGUUAGUUCACUAAUUCUAAAAACCCACUGGUUUUAAAGUACCUGAAACAAGUUUGUUUAAAUUAACAUUGUGUUCUCUAUCAUGCUUUAUUUCUUGCAUAUAGUAGGCAUUCAAAAAAUACUGUGACCGGGGGCGGUGGCUCACGGCUGUAAUCCCAGCACUUUGGGAGACUGAGGCGGGCAGAUCACCUGAGGUCAAGUUUUCAAGACCAGCCUGGCCAACAUGGCGAAACCCUGUCUCUACUAAAAAUACAAAAAUUAGCUGGGCAUGGUGGUGCACACCUGUAAUCACUACUUUGGAGGCUGAGGCAGGAGAAGCACUUGAACUUGGGCGGCAGAGGUUGCAGUGAGCCAGGAUCGUGCCAGUGCACUCCAGCCUGGGCAACAAGCAAGACUCUGUCUCAAAAAAAAAAAAAAAUAUGGAUGGAGGAAAAAAAUAAAAUUAUUAUUUAUUUUAAAAAUAUAAAACAGCAACAUAUUAUAUUAAUAUUUAAAAAGACUUCAUUAAGAUAAUAACUUCUAGUGCUGACAUUUAAGCUAAUUAUUCCAAAAUGAAGCUCCAGAGUUAUCACUGAUUAGAAAAUAGCUUUUAGCCAGAGAUGUAAAGAGCUAAAAUGUAUUGUCUUAUUUUAAGUAAGAAAUGGCUUGUCUCUUUGCUAUAGGUCUCACAUUAAUACCUGAUAAAAAUGCUGUAAGUUUUUAGGCUAUUUUUCUUAAAGAGUUCUCUUGACUGUCUGCAUCAGUAUUAUCUGAGUGCUUACUAAAAUGAGAGACAUAAAUCAGGCUCUCUGGACUGGAGGCCUGGGAUCUCUCUGUCUUUUUAGCAAGCACUCAGGAGAUCCUUAAGGAUCCUGAAUCAUGAGAACCACUGCCUUGUGACCUCCAGUAGAAUGAGGCCCCAGUGUUGACUGCACUGGAAGAGUCCAGGAGCUUGUUAAAAGUGCAGAUAGACUGAUUCCACCCCAGAAUGGACACCGAGAAAUCUUGGAUCCCAAGAGUUUGGUUGGCUUUAUCAUGCCCCUUAGUCAUUUCUGAGUGGUUCCUCAUACUCUGCAUCCAUGUGAUGAGAGGCAAAUUUCCUCAUGAUCUGCUUUGCUUCCUCAUCAAGCUACUAUGCCCCACCAUUGCUGGCUCUGCUUAUGGUUGCUGCAAUGUAGGCAGCGCUGUUUCUUGUUCUUACCACUUUUAACUAUCUUAAAAUAGA